Molecule: ribosomal RNA, 460 nt
Filed under: uncultured bacterium
Lineage: Bacteria
Description: partial 16S ribosomal RNA
Rfam family: Bacterial small subunit ribosomal RNA
Source: RNAcentral
CCUACGGGAGGCAGCAGUGAGGAAUAUUGGUCAAUGGCCGUAAGGCUGAACCAGCCAAGUCGCGUGAAGGAAGAAGGAUCUAUGGUUUGUAAACUUCUUUUAUAGGGGAAUAAAGGUAUCCACGUGUGGAUAUUUGCAUGUACCCUAUGAAUAAGCAUCGGCUAACUCCGUGCCAGCAGCCGCGGUAAUACGGAGGAUGCGAGCGUUAUCCGGAUUUAUUGGGUUUAACGGGUGCGUAGGUUGUUUUUUAAGUCAGCGGUGAAAGUUUGUGGCUCAACCAUAGAAUUGCCGUUGAUACUGGAAGACGUGAGUGUGUUAGAGGUAGGCGGAAUGCGUGGUGUAGCGGUGAAAUGCGUAGAUAUCACGAAGAACUCCGAUGGCGAAGGCAGCUUACUAGGCCAUAACUGACGCUGAAGCACGAAAGCGUGGGGAGCAAACAGGAUUAGAUACCCGUGUAGUC